GGGCCCGCACAAGCGGUGGAGCAUGUGGUUUAAUUCGACGCAACGCGAAGAACCUUACCUACACUUGACAUCCUCGGGAACUUUUCUAGAGAUAGAUUGGUGCCUUCGGGAACCGAGUGACAGGUGCUGCAUGGCUGUCGUCAGCUCGUGUCGUGAGAUGUUGGGUUAAGUCCCGUAACGAGCGCAACCCUUAUCCUUAAUUGCCAGCGGUUAGGCCGGGAACUCUAAGGAGACUGCCGAUGACAAAUCGGAGGAAGGUGGGGACGACGUCAAGUCAUCAUGGCCCUUACGUGUAGGGCUACACACGUGCUACAAUGGCCGGUACAAACGGUUGCGAACCCGCGAGGGG
Molecule: ribosomal RNA, 349 nt
Filed under: uncultured bacterium
Lineage: Bacteria
Description: bacterial SSU rRNA
Rfam family: Bacterial small subunit ribosomal RNA
Source: RNAcentral